RNAcentral lists this ribosomal RNA (330 nucleotides) under uncultured bacterium. Its description in RNAcentral is "bacterial SSU rRNA". It matches the Rfam family "Bacterial small subunit ribosomal RNA", at positions 568 to 898 of the family's 1533-position model. The record is from RNAcentral.
UCCGUAGGCGGUGCGGCAAGUCGGAAGUGAAAUCUCAGGGCUUAACCCUGAGGCUGCUUCCGAAACUGCCGUGCUCGAGUGCGAGAGAGGCGAGUGGAAUUGCAGGUGUAGCGGUGAAAUGCGUAGAUAUCUGCAGGAACAUCCGAGGCGAAAGCGGCUCGCUGGAUCGCAACUGACGCUGAGGGACGAGAGCUAGGGGAGCAAACAGGAUUAGAUACCCUGGUAGUCCUAGCCCUAAACGAUCAGGACUGGGCGUGGGCCUCGUACGGGGCUCGUGCCGCAGCUAACGCGUUAAGUCCUGCGCCUGGGGAGUACGGUCGCAAGGCUGAA